Long non-coding RNA from Scylla paramamosain (green mud crab), 901 nucleotides. RefSeq lists it as uncharacterized. The record is from RefSeq and is a predicted model, not a curated record. The transcript has 7 exons. NCBI's taxonomy places the organism in Eukaryota, Metazoa, Arthropoda, Malacostraca, Decapoda, Portunidae.
CCAGCCUUAGUCACCUCGCGGACACAGGAAGAGAUGGGUGUGCGGCUGGCGGGCACGAGUGUUAAUUAAGCUUUAUUGUGGCUUUGUGGCGUUGACGAGUGGCGUGGCGGUGCCUGGAGGAGGAUGGCACUGCGGUGGCGGCACCAGGGAGACGGCGUUGUGUUGAGUGGUUUUCAGAGUUCUUUCUGCAGUUCUCUUUCAUCACGAUCUUUUGAACAAGGUACACGCAUGGCAGCCCUCACACUCACCUGCCAUGCACAAUAUUCUACCUGUGCAUGAAUAUCGUUGUCAUGAACUUGCCUAUACACUACCGUGCCGCCCUGCCGUCCUCCGCCCUCCGCCCAAUAACGGGAAGACUGCAGACUGCAAACUUAACAUGAGUCAGGACCACCUGGCCUCAAUGUAUCGAUAAAGGCCAGAAGACUGCAGGCAAGCUGGGCCCGGACUCUAGACGCAAGGGAGAUAAUAUGCAUUGCCUGGCGGGACGUGAAGGUGAGGGGCGCACUGGAGCCCAAACCGAGGCCAACAGUGGUGGUGGCGGGCGGGGACCGGAACACUCCUUCGCCGUGGAGGGGAGAUCCUGAGGCGCCUCGGCCAAACCCUGAGGUUGGUUCUCUCCGUCGGGUUGGUGUCCACGUAGACCUUCAGAGUAGACAGCACCAUUGUCCUCACCUCCUCCUGUGAGAAGCUACCGCCCUCCCCGGGUGGACCCCUGGGACCCGGCAGCCCAUGUCCCCGCGGCCCACGGUCCCCUGCAGUGCCGAAGACUUGGUAACCACGAGGACCCCUUGGACCCACGUCGCCAGUGAUGCCAGGAGGCCCUUGAGGACCCGGGCGGCCUGAGGGCAUAAGGGGAACUACCUCGGGGUGCGCGCCUUCCAAGUGGGACUGGAAGAAAAGG